UGCAGUCGAACGAUGAUCCCAGCUUGCUGGGGGAUUAGUGGCGAACGGGUGAGUAACACGUGAGUAACCUGCCCUUGACUCUGGGAUAAGCCUGGGAAACUGGGUCUAAUACCGGAUACGACCAUCUGGCGCAUGUCAUGGUGGUGGAAAGCUUUUGUGGUUUUGGAUGGACUCGCGGCCUAUCAGCUUGUUGGUGGGGUAAUGGCCUACCAAGGCGACGACGGGUAGCCGGCCUGAGAGGGUGACCGGCCACACUGGGACUGAGACACGGCCCAGACUCCUACGGGAGGCAGCAGUGGGGAAUAUUGCACAAUGGGCGCAAGCCUGAUGCAGCGACGCCGCGUGAGGGAUGACGGCCUUCGGGUUGUAAACCUCUUUCAGUAGGGAAGAAGCGAAAGUGACGGUACCUGCAGAAGAAGCGCCGGCUAACUACGUGCCAGCAGCCGCGGUAAUACGUAGGGCGCAAGCGUUAUCCGGAAUUAUUGGGCGUAAAGAGCUCGUAGGCGGUUUGUCGCGUCUGCUGUGAAAGACCGGGGCUCAACUCCGGUUCUGCAGUGGGUACGGGCAGACUAGAGUGCAGUAGGGGAGACUGGAAUUCCUGGUGUAGCGGUGAAAUGCGCAGAUAUCAGGAGGAACACCGAUGGCGAAGGCAGGUCUCUGGGCUGUAACUGACGCUGAGGAGCGAAAGCAUGGGGAGCGAACAGGAUUAGAUA
RNAcentral lists this ribosomal RNA (713 nucleotides) under Paenarthrobacter nitroguajacolicus. RNAcentral's name for it is "bacterial SSU rRNA". It matches the Rfam family "Bacterial small subunit ribosomal RNA", at positions 56 to 784 of the family's 1533-position model. Lineage: Bacteria; Bacillati; Actinomycetota; Actinomycetes; Micrococcales; Micrococcaceae. The record is from RNAcentral.